CUAGGUUUUAGAGCACUGUCAUGCACAUCUUUGAUGCAUACAGUAUUGUGUCCUGUUCCUGUUACAUUACCAUCUGGUACACGUGUAGUUCUCUGAAAUAUCCCCAUCAGUCGCACUCAUCUGUCCAUUUUUCUCCUCUCCGGGGGGUUUCUAGGACUUGAAAGAGGAAUGUGUGAAGCUGCGGACCCGUGUGUUUGACUUGGAGCAGCAAAACCGCAUAUUGAGUGUUCUGUUUCAACAACGUGUCAAAAUGUCCACGAAUCCUGUCUCCCAGGAUGUCCAAAGAAACGGAAAAGCAGGUAUUCCUGCAGGAAGGUGGCCCAGCCUGCUGAGUCUAACAUGCCCACGCAGCAGUGGAAGCGGCAGUGGCAGUGAACUGUCACUGUCCAGUGCGUGUAGUGAGUACUCCAGUGGAUCCCACACUUGGGCAGAGGGACGUGGAUUCUCCAAACAGGUGGGUGUCAUUCAUCCUCCAUUAAUUUCCCUUCUAUUUGAAGUACAAGCCAGUUGUGAAAGUAAAUUCCUUGUUAUGGUCUUCAUGGCAUUUUGGAAUAAAGUAAAUAAUCUAUUUGUAAAUGCCAUUUCAAUCAUUUUAAAUAUGUCUUGUAAUGCACAGUGUGCCGCCAGCCGAGACAAAAGGAUGAGUACGGGUUCAGUAUCAAGCAAUCACUCUGCAUCCAUCGAGCAGACAGACCUGGGAUGGAAGGAAGGCCACAUUCUAAAAGGCCUGAAGCGUCUCCAAAUGUGCAGCUCCAAAGAGGCAUCCUCACUUGCAUCUGUGCCACACUGCAAAGAUUGCAUGACCUCCAAUGAGGGCAUAUACUCGUUUGGUUUCAAGUGUGGCCAACAAGGGAGUACAGCCAAGCAAGUAACCCCUACAAGUAAACCUUUCAAGGCCGGAGCGGGGACUGCUGCCCUAUACUCUGAUGAUGCAGAUGAUGAUUCAACUAAAUUACAAAGUAGGGAGUCCAAUGACCAACCAACGAAAGAGUUUGUUUGCUUGGAGAAACAUGAUGUCACAAAGGAUAUUGAAAACAAUUUUCAAGAAGACCCUGUAAAACUUGAAGGGAAUUCUAGUCUUUUUCCCUCACCUGUCAUAGACAACUUCUUAUUUUUGCAGGACCCCACAGUAAAACCUGGUGUAAGCCCACCAAAUAGCAAUAUGCAUCUAGAAGAAAAACACAAAGGCUCUCUAGAAAAACAGAAGCCUUCAGGCAUGAAGUUAAAUGACAGAAACAAUAACCAAGAAAGGUCUACUGACCGUAAAUCCAGACUUGACCAUGUCAAAAGACAGCAGGG
Molecule: long non-coding RNA, 1299 nt
Filed under: Cottoperca gobio
Lineage: Eukaryota; Metazoa; Chordata; Actinopteri; Perciformes; Bovichtidae
Description: lncRNA (ENSCGOG00000020453.1)
Source: RNAcentral